AACGAACGCUGGCGGCGUGCUUAACACAUGCAAGUCGAGCGAGAAAGGGGGCUUCGGCACCUGAGUAAAGCGGCGCACGGGUGAGUAACACGUGGGUAACCUGCCUUUCAGUGGGGGAUAACAGUCCGAAAGGGCUGCUAAUACCGCAUUCGUCGACGAGCACUCAUGUGCUUGUGGAGAAAGAGGCGCAAGUCUCGCUGGAAGAUGGGCCCGCGGUCCAUUAGCUAGUUGGUGGGGUAAAGGCCGUACCAAGGCUUCGAUGGAUAGCUGGUCUGAGAGGAUGAUCAGCCACACUGGAACUGAGACACGGUCCAGACUCCUACGGGAGGCAGCAGUGGGGAAUAUUGCGCAAUGGGCGAAAGCCUGACGCAGCAACGCCGCGUGUGUGAUGAAGGCC
This 397-nucleotide ribosomal RNA is filed under the name uncultured bacterium. RNAcentral describes it as "bacterial SSU rRNA". It matches the Rfam family "Bacterial small subunit ribosomal RNA", at positions 29 to 416 of the family's 1533-position model. The record is from RNAcentral.